Molecule: unclassified non-coding RNA, 370 nt
Filed under: Artemisia ferganensis
Lineage: Eukaryota; Viridiplantae; Streptophyta; Magnoliopsida; Asterales; Asteraceae
Description: partial external transcribed spacer
Source: RNAcentral
UUUGGUUUGUUACGUGUGGUUGGCUGCGGCGUUUGCAACAACUUCCAUGCUUUCAGACCUCUUCAGUUGUGCGGCAAGGCUUGUAUCGCCUUGAGCGUAUUGUGGGUUUUCUGUGUUGGCUACCUAAUCAAUGGUAUCGGUUGGAUUGAUCAAUGUUUCAUUUCGUCUACCGUCGCAUUCGCGGCGUGAGAUGAACCUUGAUGCGGUCUCUUUGAUCCACCUCGUCGAAGCGCAUGCUUUGGCGUUGUGGCACAUUGAGCAUUGCUUGGUCUCUUGUAUACGGAACAUAUAGUGGGCAUGGAUCUAACGAUUCUCGUUUGCCCUCAUAUUAGCGUAACGCUUCUCUUACACGACUUGCNCCACGUUUUAG